This 23-nucleotide small nuclear RNA is filed under the name Arabidopsis thaliana (thale cress). RNAcentral's name for it is "snRNA_15418". The record is from RNAcentral. Lineage: Eukaryota; Viridiplantae; Streptophyta; Magnoliopsida; Brassicales; Brassicaceae.
AACAAAGUAUACAAUUUAAUUUA